This 1318-nucleotide ribosomal RNA is filed under the name uncultured bacterium. Its description in RNAcentral is "bacterial SSU rRNA". It matches the Rfam family "Bacterial small subunit ribosomal RNA", at positions 136 to 1499 of the family's 1533-position model. The record is from RNAcentral.
GCCUGGAAUAACACGAGGAAACUUGUGCUAAUACCGGAUAAGUCUUUACGGAGAAAGCUUUAUGCACCAUUGGAUGAGCCUGCACUUGAUUAGUUUGUUGGUGGGGUAAUGGCCUACCAAGACUGUGAUCAAUAGCUGAUUUGAGAGGAUGAUCAGCCACAUUGGGACUGAGACACGGCCCAAACUCCUACGGGAGGCAGCAGUGGGGAAUCUUGCACAAUGGAGGAAACUCUGAUGCAGCGAUGCCGCGUGAGUGAAGAAGGCCCUUGGGUUGUAAAGCUCUUUCGUCGGGGAAGAAAAUGACUGUACCCGAAUAAGAAGGUCCGGCUAACUUCGUGCCAGCAGCCGCGGUAAUACGAAGGGACCUAGCGUAGUUCGGAAUUACUGGGCUUAAAGAGUUCGUAGGUGGUUGAAAAAGUUAGUGGUGAAAUCCCAGAGCUUAACUCUGGAACUGCCAUCAAAACUUUUCAGCUAGAGUAUGAUAGAGGAAAGCAGAAUUUCUAGUGUAGAGGUGAAAUUCGUAGAUAUUAGAAAGAAUACCAAUUGCGAAGGCAGCUUUCUGGAUCAUUACUGACACUGAGGAACGAAAGCAUGGGUAGCGAAGAGGAUUAGAUACCCUCGUAGUCCAUGCCGUAAACGAUGUGUGUUAGACGUUGGAAAUUUAUUUUCAGUGUCGCAGGGAAACCGAUAAACACACCGCCUGGGGAGUACGACCGCAAGGUUAAAACUCAAAUGAAUUGACGGGGACCCGCACAAGUAGUGGAGCAUGUGGUUUAAUUCGAAGAUACGCGCAGAACCUUACCAACACUUGACAUGUUCGUCGCGACUCUAAGAGAUUAGAGUUUUCGGUUCGGCCGGACGAAACACAGGUGCUGCAUGGCUGUCGUCAGCUCGUGUCGUGAGAUGUUGGGUUAAGUCCCGCAACGAGCGCAACCCUCACUUUUAGUUGCCAUCAUUAAGUUGGGCACUCUGAAAGAACUGCCAGUGAUAAGCUGGAGGAAGGUGGGGAUGACGUCAAGUCCUCAUGGCCCUUACGUGUUGGGCUACACACGUGCUACAAUGGCAUCUACAACAGGAAGCAAAACGGCAACGUUAAGCAAAUCCCGAAAAGAUGCCUCAGUUCGGAUUGCACUCUGCAACUCGAGUGCAUGAAGCUGGAAUUACUAGUAAUCGUGGAUCAGCGUGCCACGGUGAAUGCGUUCCCGGGUCUUGUACACACCGCCCGUCACACCAUGGGAGUUGGUUCUACCUUAAGGCAAGGUUUUAAACCCUUGACCACGGUAUAGUCAGCGACUGGGGUGAAGUCGUAACAAGGUAG